AUUGAACGCUGGCGGCAGGCCUAACACAUGCAAGUCGAGCGGAUGAAGGGAGCUUGCUCCUGGAUUCAGCGGCGGACGGGUGAGUAAUGCCUAGGAAUCUGCCUGGUAGUGGGGGAUAACGUCCGGAAACGGGCGCUAAUACCGCAUACGUCCUGAGGGAGAAAGUGGGGGAUCUUCGGACCUCAGCUAUCAGAUGAGCCUAGGUCGGAUUAGCUAGUUGGUGGGGUAAAGGCCUACCAAGGCGACGAUCCGUAACUGGUCUGAGAGGAUGAUCAGUCACACUGGAACUGAGACACGGUCCAGACUCCUACGGGAGGCAGCAGUGGGGAAUAUUGGACAAUGGGCGAAAGCCUGAUCCAGCCAUGCCGCGUGUGUGAAGAAGGUCUUCGGAUUGUAAAGCACUUUAAGUUGGGAGGAAGGGCAGUAAGUUAAUACCUUGCUGUCUUGACGUUACCAACAGAAUAAGCACCGGCUAACUUCGUG
RNAcentral lists this ribosomal RNA (483 nucleotides) under uncultured bacterium. Its description in RNAcentral is "partial 16S ribosomal RNA". It matches the Rfam family "Bacterial small subunit ribosomal RNA", at positions 30 to 507 of the family's 1533-position model. The record is from RNAcentral.